RNAcentral lists this long non-coding RNA (329 nucleotides) under Mytilus galloprovincialis (Mediterranean mussel). The record is from RNAcentral. Lineage: Eukaryota; Metazoa; Mollusca; Bivalvia; Mytilida; Mytilidae.
UUAUUUGGUCGAUUGAUGUGUUUCUUUUUUAAUCUGACCUUAUCUGCUUAAUUUUGAUUACUUAUAAAUUAAAAGUUUUGGUAACUAGUUGAAAGUUUGUUCUGCAUGAGGACUUAACUUACCAAAACAUCUCAUCUCAUCUCAAAAAAAAUCAACCAAAGCCACACCGCGAAGUCAGUGAGAAAGAACAGAAAUUCUUAUUAUUAUUCACAACUCUAUUGAGAUACAUUAGUAAGAUACAGGGCUAAACAGGUCGUAUAAUCGUUUGUUAAUUGGCAAAUAUUUGGUAUGAUCAGCCGGUCAGCCAAAGAAAGCCCCCGACAAGACGC